UCCCUGGUGGCUCAGUGGUAAAGAAUCUGCUUGCCAAUGCAGGAGACAUAGGUUCAAUCUCCCAUCUGGGGAG
Ovis aries (sheep) is the source of this 73-nucleotide transfer RNA. It matches the Rfam family "tRNA". Rfam says of the family: Transfer RNA (tRNA) molecules are approximately 80 nucleotides in length. Their secondary structure includes four short double-helical elements and three loops (D, anti-codon, and T loops). Further hydrogen bonds mediate the characteristic L-shaped molecular structure. tRNAs have two regions of fundamental functional importance: the anti-codon, which is responsible for specific mRNA codon recognition, and the 3' end, to which the tRNAs corresponding amino acid is attached (by aminoacyl-tRNA synthetases). tRNAs cope with the degeneracy of the genetic code in two manners: having more than one tRNA (with a specific anti-codon) for a particular amino acid; and 'wobble' base-pairing, i.e. permitting non-standard base-pairing at the 3rd anti-codon position. The record is from Rfam. NCBI's taxonomy places the organism in Eukaryota, Metazoa, Chordata, Mammalia, Artiodactyla, Bovidae.